Molecule: ribosomal RNA, 431 nt
Filed under: uncultured bacterium
Lineage: Bacteria
Description: bacterial SSU rRNA
Rfam family: Bacterial small subunit ribosomal RNA
Source: RNAcentral
UGGGGAAUUUUGGGCAAUGGCCGAAAGGCUGACCCAGCGACGCCGCGUGCGGGAGGACGCCCUUCGGGGUGUAAACCGCUGUCAGAGGGGACGAAAGGCCGGGGUGGGAAUACUGCCCUGGAGUGACGGUACCCUCAGAGGAAGCACCGGCUAACUCUGUGCCAGCAGCCGCGGUAAUACAGAGGGUGCGAGCGUUGUUCGGAAUCACUGGGCGUAAAGCGCGCGCAGGCGGGACUUGCAAGUCGGGAGUGAAAGGCCGGGGCUCAACCCCGGAGCUGCUUUCGAGACUGCGGACCUGGAGACCAGUAGGGGUUGGUGGAAUUCCCGGUGUAGCGGUGGAAUGCGUAGAGAUCGGGAAGAACACCGGUGGCGAAGGCGGCCAACUGGGCUGGAUCUGACGCUGAGGCGCGAAAGCGUGGGGAGCAAACAGG